Molecule: non-coding RNA, 84 nt
Organism: Lentinula novae-zelandiae
Lineage: Eukaryota; Fungi; Basidiomycota; Agaricomycetes; Agaricales; Omphalotaceae
Source: the annotation of a GenBank genome assembly
UCCUGCUUAGCUCAGUUGGUAGAGCGCGUCACUAGUACUACCUAGUUUAUGACGAGGUCAGUCGUUCAAAUCGGCUAGAAGGAA